RNAcentral lists this ribosomal RNA (223 nucleotides) under uncultured bacterium. Its description in RNAcentral is "partial 16S ribosomal RNA". It matches the Rfam family "Bacterial small subunit ribosomal RNA", at positions 114 to 334 of the family's 1533-position model. The record is from RNAcentral.
CGCGUGGGUGACGUACCUGUUAGUUGGGGAAUAACUGCCCGAAAGGGUGGCUAAUUCCGCAUACGCCCGGUCUUUCGGUGGACUGGGGAAAGCCUUGUAAGAGGCGCUAAUGGAGCGGCCCGCGUUCGAUUAGCUCGUUGGUGGGGUAACGGCCUACCAAGGCGACGAUCGAUAGCUGGUCUCAGAGGAUGAUCAGCCAGACUGGGACUGAGACACGGCCCAG